UUUACUGAGAGUUUGAUCCUGGCUCAGGACGAACGCUGGCGGCGUGCCUAAUACAUGCAAGUCGUGCGGACCUUUUAAAAGCUUGCUUUUAAAAGGUUAGCGGCGGACGGGUGAGUAACACGUGGGCAACCUGCCUGUAAGAUCGGGAUAACGCCGGGAAACCGGGGCUAAUACCGGAUAGUUUUUUCCUCCGCAUGGAGGAAAAAGGAAAGACGGCUUCGGCUGUCACUUACAGAUGGGCCCGCGGCGCAUUAGCUAGUUGGUGGGGUAACGGCUCACCAAGGCAACGAUGCGUAGCCGACCUGAGAGGGUGAUCGGCCACAUUGGGACUGAGACACGGCCCAAACUCCUACGGGAGGCAGCAGUAGGGAAUCUUCCGCAAUGGACGAAAGUCUGACGGAGCAACGCCGCGUGAGUGAAGAAGGCCUUCGGGUCGUAAAACUCUGUUGCCGGGGAAGAACAAGUGCCGUUCGAACAGGGCGGCGCCUUGACGGUACCCGGCCAGAAAGCCACGGCUAACUACGUGCCAGCAGCCGCGGUAAUACGUAGGUGGCAAGCGUU
RNAcentral lists this ribosomal RNA (561 nucleotides) under Heyndrickxia coagulans. Its description in RNAcentral is "bacterial SSU rRNA". It matches the Rfam family "Bacterial small subunit ribosomal RNA", at positions 1 to 542 of the family's 1533-position model. Lineage: Bacteria; Bacillati; Bacillota; Bacilli; Caryophanales; Bacillaceae. The record is from RNAcentral.